This 73-nucleotide transfer RNA is filed under the name Mustela putorius furo (domestic ferret). It matches the Rfam family "tRNA". From Rfam's summary of the family: Transfer RNA (tRNA) molecules are approximately 80 nucleotides in length. The record is from Rfam by way of RNAcentral. Lineage: Eukaryota; Metazoa; Chordata; Mammalia; Carnivora; Mustelidae.
GCCUGGCUGGCCUAGCUAGGAGAGCAUGUGACUGUUGAUCUCAGUGUCAUGAGUUUGAGCCCCAUGUUGGGCU